UAUCUCUGUAGAGUCUGCAUAUCAAUAAGCGGAGGAAAAGAAACUAACUAAGGAUUCCCUUAGUAACGGCGAGUGAAGCGGGAAGAGCUCAAAUUUGAAAUCUUCAAGGUUUUACCUUGACGAAUUGUAGUUUAAAGAAGUGUUUUCUGUUGAAGUUUUCGGUAAAAGUUCUUUGGAAUAGGACAUCAUAGAGGGUGAGAAUCCCGUAUUUGACCAGUUAUUUCCAGCUGUGUGAUACACUUUCAAAGAGUCGGAUUGUUUGGGAAUGCAGUCCAAAAUGGGUGGUAAAUUUCAUCUAAAGCUAAAUAUUGGCGAGAGACCGAUAGCGAACAAGUACCGUGAGGGAAAGAUGAAAAGAACUUUGAAAAGAGAGUUAAACAGUACGUGAAAUUGUCAAAAGGGAAGCGUUUGACACCAGUGUUGUUUUCUCGAAAAUCAAUUAAAAAUGGCUUGAUUUUGUGUUGUAUUGACCUUAAAAGCUUUCUUCACUUUUUUCAUGUCUUUUUUAAUGCACUUUUCGUUUAACAAGUCAACAUCAGUUUCUUUUGUUGUAAAAAGGUCAUUGGAAGGUGGCUUUCUUUUCGGAGAAAGUGUUUAUAGCCUUUGACUUCUGCAAUCGGAGAGACUGAGGUCUGCAGCGUAGAUCCUUCUGGAUUAGAUUCAUUUGUGCUAAGUUACAACCGUUUAUAGACAACUUGUUGACUAUAUUCGAUCCUGUAGCUUACUCGCUUAUGUAAUUUUACCUACGCUUAGGAUGUUGAUAUGCAUGACUGAUAU
This 777-nucleotide ribosomal RNA is filed under the name uncultured Neocallimastigales. RNAcentral's name for it is "partial large subunit ribosomal RNA". It matches the Rfam family "Eukaryotic large subunit ribosomal RNA", at positions 24 to 634 of the family's 3401-position model. Lineage: Eukaryota; Fungi; Neocallimastigomycota; Neocallimastigomycetes; Neocallimastigales. The record is from RNAcentral.